CGGACGGGUGAGUAACGCGUGAGAAUCUGGCCUACAGAUUGGGGACAACGUCGGGAAACUGACGCUAAUACCGAAUGUGCCGAGAGGUGAAAGAUUUAUCGUCUGUAGAUGAGCUCGCGUCUGAUUAGCUAGUUGGGGCGGUAACGGCGCACCAAGGCGACGAUCAGUAACUGGUCUGAGAGGAUGACCAGUCACACUGGGACUGAGACACGGCCCAGACUCCUACGGGAGGCAGCAGUGGGGAAUUUUCCGCAAUGGGCGAAAGCCUGACGGAGCAAUACCGCGUGCGGGAGGACGCUUUUUGGAGUGUAAACCGCUUUUCUCAAGGAAGAUGAUGACGGUACUUGAGGAAUCAGCAUCGGCUAACUUCGUGCCAGCAGCCGCGGUAAUACGAGGGAUGCAAGCGUUAUCCGGAAUUAUUGGGCGUAAAGCGUUCGUAGGUGGCAAAUUAAGUCUGUUGUUAAAACGUGGAGCUUAACUCCAUACCGGCAAUGGAAACUGGUUAGCUAGAGUAUGGUAGGGGUAACAGGAAUUCCCAGUGUAGCGGUGAAAUGCGUAGAUAUUGGGAAGAACACCAGCGGCGAAAGCGUGUUACUGGGCCAUUACUGACACUGA
This 615-nucleotide ribosomal RNA is filed under the name Synechococcales cyanobacterium LEGE 06003. RNAcentral describes it as "bacterial SSU rRNA". It matches the Rfam family "Bacterial small subunit ribosomal RNA", at positions 99 to 749 of the family's 1533-position model. The record is from RNAcentral. Lineage: Bacteria; Bacillati; Cyanobacteriota; Cyanophyceae; Synechococcales.